UGUGGAAUGGGAGCAGCACCAGAGACCCAGAAUUUCCAUGCAGAUAACCCCACCUCCCCACUGAUCCUGCAGGAUGUGUAGAGCCAACAAUGAAUGGGUACAAUACUGAAGGAACAGGUGUGUUUUCACUUGGAGAAAGCAGCAAGGGAUAUGAAAAUGACUUAGCAGCUGGUGAAUAAGAAGACUGAAGUUGUGCCAGACGAAGUGUGUGCAUGUUUUUUGUGCUUGUUUCCCCCACCCCUACUAAUUAUGCAAAAUCUCUAAUUCCAUUGAUCAUAUUGUUCUCUUCCUUCUUCAUCUAAAGAAUAAAUACAUGUUGUGUGACAACUUUCA
Long non-coding RNA from Mauremys reevesii (Reeves's turtle), 333 nucleotides. RefSeq lists it as uncharacterized. The transcript has 2 exons. Lineage: Eukaryota; Metazoa; Chordata; Testudines; Geoemydidae. The record is from RefSeq and is a predicted model, not a curated record.